GGAAGAAGGCUCUAGGGUUGUAAACUGCUGUCAAGCAAGGGGAAACGUAAGUCCUCAAUAGGGGCUUGCCUGACUGCUUGCUAAAGGAAGGUCCGGCUAAACACGUGCCAGCAGCCGCGGUAAUACGUGUGGACCAAGCGUUGUUCGGAAUUACUGGGCUUAAAGGGAGCGUAGGUGGCUGAGUAAGUCACGGGUGAAAGCCGGCGGCCCAACCGUCGAAUUGCCUAUGAUACUGCUCGGCUUGAGUGUGCGAGGGGGAAGCGGAACGCGUGGUGUAGCGGUGAAAUGCGUAGAUAUCACGCGGAAGGCCAGAGCCGAAGGGGGCUUCCUGGUGCACAACUGACACUGAGGCUCGAAAGCGUGGGGAGCAAACAGGAUUAGAUACCCCCGUAGUCC
This 396-nucleotide ribosomal RNA is filed under the name uncultured bacterium. RNAcentral describes it as "bacterial SSU rRNA". It matches the Rfam family "Bacterial small subunit ribosomal RNA", at positions 406 to 796 of the family's 1533-position model. The record is from RNAcentral.